CGGACGGGUGAGUAACGCGUGGAAGACCUGCCGUAUACUGGGGGAUAACACUUAGAAAUAGGUGCUAAUACCGCAUAAGCGCACAGCUUCGCAUGAAGCGGUGUGAAAAACUCUGGUGGUAUACGAUGGUUCCGCGUCUGAUUAGCUAGUUGGUGGGGUAAUGGCCUACCAAGGCAACGAUCAGUAGCCGGCCUGAGAGGGUGAACGGCCACAUUGGGACUGAGACACGGCCCAAACUCCUACGGGAGGCAGCAG
RNAcentral lists this ribosomal RNA (255 nucleotides) under uncultured bacterium. RNAcentral describes it as "partial 16S ribosomal RNA". It matches the Rfam family "Bacterial small subunit ribosomal RNA", at positions 99 to 354 of the family's 1533-position model. The record is from RNAcentral.